Molecule: long non-coding RNA, 2073 nt
Organism: Urocitellus parryii (Arctic ground squirrel)
Lineage: Eukaryota; Metazoa; Chordata; Mammalia; Rodentia; Sciuridae
Source: RefSeq, a predicted model, not a curated record
GAGAAGGCAGGGAGUGGGACUGAGGAGGAGAUCUAAACCCAGGUCCCAUCUGGACAGGACACAAGUCAGAGGUAAAGCUGGAACAAAUGAUAGAAUUAAAGAAUGCAAGAGAGAGAGAGAGAGAGAGAUGUGGAGAGGGCACAGGUGGGGAAAAGCAGACCAUACAGUGAGGAAGGGGAAUGCAAAUAAAGAAAAGAAGAUGGUUUCUGGGUGUGAUUAGAAGAGAGAUUAAAGAGAUAAGAGUGAAAGGAAAGGAGGGAAGGCAUAAAGGGAAUAAGUAAGGAGACAAAAUAAGUAAUAAGCGUUCAAGUGCUGAUCUAAAUGCUUAGGAAGUCACCAGGCUGUUAGGAGAGCCGGAAGAGCCACAGCCAUACCCAAGAGGGGACCAUCAGAAAGAUAGAAGCAGGUAAUUUAAGUAGCUAGCUACUGGGGCAAAAAAAAAAAAAAAAAUGAAAAGAAAAAAAAAUAGAAGAUAGAAGAGGUGAGAAGCAGGAGAGGGAAAACCCAAAGGAGACACUGGCCCAGAAACCUUUUUAACUUUCUGUAAGAAUCUUCAAGGCCCCAAACUAGGCCAAGAUUCUGACUGACAUUUCUGAGCUCACCAGCUGCUGUUUCCUUGAGAGGAUUCUGACAGGAAGGCACAGAAAUGCAAGCCAACCCUGCCAGCUCUGGAAAUAAAUAAAUAACAAUCCAUGUUCUAAACACCUCCAUGGGGGCAGAAGCCUGCCGGGAAGGAAGCCCACAGAGGAGGAGGGACCCGCCCGGUGCAACUUUUCCCCAGGCAUGGACGAGUGAGGCUUGAACACCCCAGGCUAUCUGCACAUGAGAAGCUGCAGUCACCUCCCAAGGGAGCUGCCCCCUGCUCUGGCUGGUCAAACGGAACCAAGUCCGUCUUCCUGAGAGGUUUGGUCCCCUUCAACCAGCUACAGCAGGGCUGGCAAUGUCGGUCCCUGGAAAAACAGAAGAGAGUCACCUGGGGCUGAAAUUACCUACUAAAACUUUCUUUGUGAAAUYGACUCUGGCUUUGUCAUCACACUCCCAUGUCCCCCGGAAAGAAGAAAGGAGAAUCCCUAGCAUCAAAUGUGAGCAAAGGUUUCAUACUCAACACACAGCUCUAUACCUGUGCAUCCACAGCCAGAUCCACUCACGUGCCCUUGACACAAAGUUCUUCAUGGCCUUAGUCAUGGAGUUGGUGCCAGCCAGGGGAAAAGCACAAGAUAGGGAAGACAGGGCUCCUGUCCGCAGGGGCUAGCAGCCUGAGUAAGGAAAUCAGGCAUACUUCUUAACAAGUCACCAAAUAUGCCCGGGACACUGUCUAUCAUAGAGCCUUUAUUGACUCACGCAGCCCAGGAUAUCUAUUACUGAGGAAUAGGCACCUGUUUUGGUUUACUUAUCUGUUGAAUGGGGAUAAUAAUACCUACCACAUAUGGCUUCAUGUGAAAUGAAUAUAUGGAAAGGAGUUAGAAAGCUCUCAUAAUUGUUCCCUGUUAUUAAGGAGGAAUGCUGUUUAAUUUCAAAUUUCUUUUUCAAGAUUUAUGUCUUUAAUGGUGUACUCAGGAGUGUGCCUGGAACUUUGUUAAUAUAGGAUAAAAUUUUUUUUAUAAACACGUGUUCCCACACUAUACUUGAACAAAGUGUGUCAUAAGAGUGCCCAGAGCCCACACAGUGGCCACCCAGGGAACCAGGUGCUGCCUACUCAGGCUUUGAAGUCAGGGAAACCUGAGUCUGAAUUUGCCCUUCACAGAUGAGCCGUGGUAUAUCCCCUUUUAUGGCCUCACUUUACCUGGCAUAAACUUUAGUUUCCUCCUCUAUAAACUGGGGUCAAUGAUACCUACCUCAAACUGGCUGAGAUUUUAAGAACACAGUCUUUGUAAAGAGCCAAAUAUAAGCCCUCAAGAAAUAGUAGCUGCUAAUAUUUGGCUGUUGUGUCAAUGGCACAAGGACAGACAAUGCUGUGUCUGGCACUCGMGCCUGUGAGGGAAGGACCAAAAUAAAUAGAUAAAUAUUCCAACUGUUAAUUUUACUUGCAAGUAGCAUGUUGUCAUCAUAUUAUGUAUUAAUAGUAUGUAGUAA